AUACGAAGGGUGCAAGCGUUACUCGGAAUUACUGGGCGUAAAGCGUGCGUAGGUGGUUGUUUAAGUCUGUCGUGAAAGCCCUGGGCUCAACCUGGGAAUGGCGAUGGAAACUGGGCGACUAGAGUGUGGCAGAGGGUAGUGGAAUUCCUGGUGUAGCAGUGAAAUGCGUAGAGAUCAGGAGGAACAUCCGUGGCGAAGGCGACUGCCUGGGCCAACACUGACACUGAGGCACGAAAGCGUGGGGAGCAAACAGGAUUAGAUACCCUGGUAGUCCACGCCCUAAACGAUGCGAACUGGAUGUUGGGUGCAAUUUGGCACGCAGUAUCGAAGCUAACGCGUUAAGUUCGCCGCCUGGGGAGUACGGUCGCAAGGCUGAAACUCAAAUGAAUUGACGGGG
RNAcentral lists this ribosomal RNA (397 nucleotides) under uncultured bacterium. RNAcentral describes it as "partial 16S ribosomal RNA". It matches the Rfam family "Bacterial small subunit ribosomal RNA", at positions 523 to 918 of the family's 1533-position model. The record is from RNAcentral.